UAUCAGUCCUUGAAUUGAAGACAAAUUUACAUGUGAGUUGGUAUUCACAGGGUGUAUAGAUGGAGGCUCAAUAAUAGCCUCAAUCGUUUUCUCUAUGGUUUCAAUUUCUUCAGGUCAUCCAAUAUCAAGGUCUGCAAAAUUAUAUAAUUGCGAAGCUCUCAUUUGCUUGUCUUGCAAUGGUGGAAGUGAACCACAGAGUAGCCUGCACUGCUCCAAAUUCUAGCUGAGUAUAACUUAUUCUUAAGAUUAAGAAUAUGUGGUUGGAUCUAAUUUAACCUUUU
RNAcentral lists this long non-coding RNA (281 nucleotides) under Lathyrus oleraceus (garden pea). Its description in RNAcentral is "Pisum sativum (pea) long non-coding RNA (PSAT_LNC000790)". The record is from RNAcentral. Lineage: Eukaryota; Viridiplantae; Streptophyta; Magnoliopsida; Fabales; Fabaceae.